CGCAUGUGUAUUCAAUAAACUCUUCCGUUUGAUUGCAUCCUUCUGGGCCUUUGGUAUUUUGUUUUGGAUCUCAGUAUUUCGAAUCGGGACAGUUUUGGUGCCGUGACCCGGAUAUCUGAGUCCAUUGACCCGGUUCUGAGGUUCUGGUGGAGAAAAACAGAGGCCAGAGGUGGUCAAACAGGCAGACGGGACCCAGUGGUUCGGCUGAGUGUUCAGGGCCCUGACAAAAAAGGUAGGCACAGCCUGUUAAAUCAAAAUGUGCUGAUUGAAAUAUUAUAUUCUAAAUUUACUCAGCUAAAUUACUGAUGGAUGUCUGUUUGAGUAAUUGUUGAGAAAUUGAAGCUUCAUAAGAUGUUGAAAAGGUCAAGCUUGAUGUUCUUAUGAUAAAAGUGAGAAAGACAAUAAGGUGUCUUUAGAAUAUUGAAGGUGAAAUAAGUUAAUAUAUUGAAGGUGAAAUAACUUUAAAGUUCAGGGGUGGAGACCCCCCCUCUAUCGGAGACGUCCUUUAGAGCCCGCUAAGGUUGCGGUCACUCCAGAUUGACCAUCUGCUGAUGACUUGGGACCAUCAGUAUUAAAAUUGGUUAUGAUCAGAGGAUCAUGUUGGUAUAAAGUUAUUGUUUCAUAGAGAAAGUAAUCUUGGACAUAGAGGUCCGACAAACAAACCUUGGGUUGUGCAAGGUUUUCUCAUGUGAGGCAGAAUUUCAGGAAGCCAAGUGUUUGAUAGGUUUUCUGAGAAAGUAAUGUUGAGAAGAAUAAAUGUUGACAUUACUGAGUUAAUGUUGAUAAAUGUCAGUGGAUCUGCUGUGGUCCUGUAAAGAAACAUUGCUGGUUGUGAGAAGUAUUGAGUGAAUAUUUCUGAGUCUACUCUGAGUCAGUGCAGGCGUCAAGGUUGACUGAUUUGACACUGAAUGUUGCGUGUAUCACUGCCUGGCAGAUACCCAGGUUUUGAAAUAGUGUCGGAUCCCAUGAUUUUCAGGUGAUGAAUUGCCUGACAAUAGGAGUCAGAAAAGGACUUUUUGAUGCUAUAUUUUGUGUGAUUUGAGAAAGCUUGUGUUCGAAUAGACACACACACACACAUUCAUUGCAGCUGUUGGGUGUGAACAACUUCCUCUUUUAAUUUUAAACUGCGACACAUGCGUUCAUUGAACUAGAACUUCAGCAGUGAAUGAGACAGGAUUUAGAAUUUCAGAAAAUAGAGUCAGAAACGGUUUUGUGGCUCUUGGUAAACUGAUUUUGAAGGAAAAAAUCAGUGUUUAUUGUGCUGGAGUAACAGAUCCGGCGUGGUCUGAAGUGUAGAAUCAGCUGGGUGUACAGCGUUGUUGAUAUUAACAGAUCCGGCGUGGUCUGAAGUUUGGUGGAUCCGCUGAGGUCCAGAAGAAUAGUCAGUGCGGACUGCGUUGGUUUGAAUGUUGAUAAAUGAUCCAGGGAGAAUUGCCCUGGGUCUGUCUCUGUGUGUGUGAGCUGUUGAGUAACAGCCUACGCAGUUAGAAUUGGGUGCUGGUUACUUCCUCUUUUCAGUUUCGAAAAAGAAGAGUUUUGGUUUCACUUUAAAGUUUGAUUACGUAUUACUGGGUGAAACACGGUUUCACUUGUGAUUAGGGAAAUAAUAUGCUUACUUUUGGGUCUAUGAAAAUUGAAUUACAGUGGGUGAUCUCUGUGACAACAUACAGUGUUGAGAUACUGGAUGUUGAAUUGAAGAUAGUGGAUCUUGACGUUUUGUUUUUAUUGAUUUUAAAACCAGCAGAGAGUUUAUAUUUGCUCAGUCUUUUGACUGCCUGAGCUGACUUCCUCUUUCUCAGUGAACAGCUGUGUGCAGCUGAAUUAAAGGACUGAGAGAACAGAGGGGGUGAUUUUCAAGCUUUGUGCGUGUUUACACCAAAAGUGGCUGGUUUGGUGCAUUCAUGAGAGUGAAAACAGAAACUGAAGCAGCUGAAUGAAGACACACUGGGCCAGUAAGUGAACAGGAAGACCAGUGCAGAGAUGAAAACAUUGAAAGAGAACCACAGUGAGUGUUGCAAAUGGAUGAUCAUGUGCCGAGGAAUAUCCGGUUGGAUGAAAGAGGAUGUAAAGAGCAUCCUAAAGUCUUUGCAAGAUUUGCAACAGGAAAAUAAGAAACUAGAGGGACAGAUACAGACUCUGUCUAUAAACAAAGAGGAACUGGAGCUCCUGAAUGAUGUACCA
This is a long non-coding RNA of Oreochromis niloticus (Nile tilapia), 2181 nucleotides long. RefSeq lists it as uncharacterized. The transcript has 3 exons. The record is from RefSeq and is a predicted model, not a curated record. NCBI's taxonomy places the organism in Eukaryota, Metazoa, Chordata, Actinopteri, Cichliformes, Cichlidae.